GACGAACGCUGGCGGCGUGCUUAAUACAUGCAAGUCGAGCGAGGUCCAUCUGGUGGCAACACCAGUGAAGGCCGAGCGGCGAACGGGUGAGUAACACGUGAGCAACCUGCCCCGAAGUCUGGAAUAACAUCGGGAAACCGGUGCUAAUACCGGAUCGCCCCACCUGACCGCAUGAUCGGGUGAGGAAAGAUUUAUCGCUUCGGGAGGGGCUCGCGGCCUAUCAGCUAGNGGUGGGGUAACGGCCUACCAAGGCAUCGACGGGUAGCUGGUCUGAGAGGACGACCAGCCACACUGGGACUGAGACACGGCCCAGACUCCUACGGGAGGCAGCAGUAGGGAAUCUUGCGCAAUGGGCGAAAGCCUGACGCAGCAACGCCGCGUGGGGGAUGACGGCCUCGGUU
This 401-nucleotide ribosomal RNA is filed under the name uncultured bacterium. RNAcentral's name for it is "bacterial SSU rRNA". It matches the Rfam family "Bacterial small subunit ribosomal RNA", at positions 28 to 424 of the family's 1533-position model. The record is from RNAcentral.